This is a long non-coding RNA of Aethalodelphis obliquidens (Pacific white-sided dolphin), 695 nucleotides long. RefSeq lists it as uncharacterized. The transcript is spliced from 3 exons. The record is from RefSeq and is a predicted model, not a curated record. Lineage: Eukaryota; Metazoa; Chordata; Mammalia; Artiodactyla; Delphinidae.
AGUGGCACUAUGUUUUAUCUCGAGUGAGGAAGAGCCAUGGUAAUCAGUCUCACUGUGACUACUGUCACGGAUUCUACCCUGAGGCGCUGUGAAGCAAUAAAACUCUUGCAUUGGAAGCGGAUGCCUUUAUGGUUCUUGUGAAAGAUUUAAGGAACAGUUCAGAAUGGAAGACUAAGGACUUUGCACAUCGUGACCCUAAAAGAGGAGGAAAGAUUUUUCAGCUCAUCUCUGUUGGUGGGUGGACUACUUCUUUGAGUGGACUAUCUAUGCCAUCUAGAAAAGGGAAAAAACCUACAGCUACUAUUUUGGUACGUGCAAUGCAGAAAUGUUGUCAUUUUGUGCUUCCUACUGAUGCUAAAGUUUAUGUAAAAGGAAAUCAGCUAGCUAUAUUUCCCAGCAAGAUCAUAUGAGUUAUAUAAUUUUCACAUAGAUCUUGAGCUAAAACAGAAAUCUUGUGAAUUAAUGUUUGCUACAAUUAAGAUACAGUGGACACUUUCCAGUGGGAAAAAAAUAAAAAACAUAUUAAGGUCUGUCAAGACUCCAUAACGUCUAGGCAUGACGUUCAGACUGAACUAACCAGGUUAUCUUUGCUCAAACAAAGGCUUUUUGAACUUCUUCAGGCAGGAUGGUAACAGAGAAAAGAUGGCUUUUACUCCUGAACACAAUGUCUAGUUUACUGACCCUAAACUGUAGUA